CACGAGUGGCGCACGGGUGAGUAACACGUGGGUAAUCUACCUUCGGGUCUGGGACAACUCCGGGAAACUGGAGCUAAUACCGGAUGAGACCACGAGGUCCUCGGACUUCGCGGAAAAAGAUGGCCUCUCCUUGGAAGCUAUCGCCUGUAGAUGAGCCCGCGCCCCAUUAGCUAGUUGGUGAGGUAACGGCUCACCAAGGCGACGAUGGGUAGCUGGUCUGAGAGGACGACCAGCCACACUGGAACUGAGACACGGUCCAGACUCCUACGGGAGGCAGCAGUCGGGAAUUUUGGGCAAUGGGCGAAAGCCUGACCCAGCAACGCCGCGUGAGGGAUGAAGGCCCUCGGGUCGUAAACCUCUGUCGGGAGGGAAGAACGAUCGCAAGGUGAAUAAUCUUGGGGUCUGACGGUACCUCCAAAGGAAGCGCCGGCUAACUCCGUGCCAGCAGCCGCGGUAAUACGGAGGGCGCAAGCGUUGUUCGGAAUCAUUGGGCGUAAAGCGCGUGUAGGCGGCUUGGCAAGUCGGGUGUGAAAUCCCGGGGCUCAACCCCGGAACUGCAUUCGAUACUGCCUCGCUAGAGUCCCGGAGAGGAGGGCGGAAUUCCCGGUGUAGAGGUGAAAUUCGUAGAUAUCGGGAGGAACACCAGUGGCGAAGGCGGCCCUCUGGACGGUGACUGACGCUGAGAUGCGAAAGCGUGGGGAGCAAACAGGA
RNAcentral lists this ribosomal RNA (711 nucleotides) under uncultured Pseudomonadota bacterium. RNAcentral describes it as "bacterial SSU rRNA". It matches the Rfam family "Bacterial small subunit ribosomal RNA", at positions 90 to 777 of the family's 1533-position model. Lineage: Bacteria; Pseudomonadati; Pseudomonadota. The record is from RNAcentral.